This 342-nucleotide ribosomal RNA is filed under the name Hypogymnia delavayi. RNAcentral's name for it is "eukaryotic LSU rRNA". It matches the Rfam family "Eukaryotic large subunit ribosomal RNA", at positions 74 to 413 of the family's 3401-position model. Lineage: Eukaryota; Fungi; Ascomycota; Lecanoromycetes; Lecanorales; Parmeliaceae. The record is from RNAcentral.
AUUGCCUCAGUAACGGCGAGUGAAGCGGCAACAGCUCAAAUUUGAAAUCUGACCCUUUAAGGGCCUGAGUUGUAAUUUAUAGAGGGUGUUUCGGGUGAGAUCAUGGUCUAAGUUCAUUGGAACAUGGCGUCAUAGAGGGUGAGAAUCCCGUAUGUGACUGUGAAUCGAGCCCAUGUGAAGCCCCUUCGAUGAGUCGAGUUGUUUGGGAAUGCAGCUCAAAAUGGGUGGUAAAUUUCAUCUAAAGCUAAAUACUGGCUGGAGACCGAUAGCGCACAAGUAGAGUGAUCGAAAGGUGAAAAGCACUUUGAAAAGAGAGUUNAAAAGUACGUGAAAUUGUUGAAA